This 292-nucleotide ribosomal RNA is filed under the name uncultured bacterium. RNAcentral's name for it is "partial 16S ribosomal RNA". It matches the Rfam family "Bacterial small subunit ribosomal RNA", at positions 505 to 796 of the family's 1533-position model. The record is from RNAcentral.
GUGUCAGCAGCCGCGGUAAUACGUAGGAUCCAAGCGUUGUCCGGAUUUACUGGGUGUAAAGGGUGCGCAGGCGGAAUGGUAAGUCAGAGGUGAAAUCUCAUCGCUCAACGGUGAAACUGCCUUUGAUACUAUCAUUCUUGAGUCCGAUAGAGAUCUGUGGAAUUCCGAGUGUAGCAGUGAAAUGUGUAGAUAUUCGGAAGAACACCAGUGGCGAAGGCAGCAGAUUGGGUCGGUACUGACGCUCAGGCACGAAAGCAUGGGGAUCAAACAGGAUUAGAAACCCCCGUAGUCC